UGGUGCCUGCACAUACCCACCCAGGCACAUACGUGUUCCACGUGUCACUGAAGAGCAAACAUAUAGCAUAUAACCAUAUCUUCCAAUCAAAAGAAAUGCCCACAUAAACUGAAACCAAGAGGACACGAGCCCGUUCUGCCAUGCGCGCAGCCCUCUCACGCAGAUAGGAUCCACCGCUGAAACGCGAGUGCCUGUGACAAACUACAUCUCUUGCGGGCACUUCCACUGACUUCUGCUGCACCAUUGAUAGCACUUCCUCGUAUGCUACAGCAAGCAAGCUAGAUUUUUCUUAUGGACUGAUGACAGACAUCACUGCAGCUAUGACAAAUUGGGGAAACCUACCUGGUGCGUUUAAUUAACAUCCAAGCUGGAAUUAAGGAAGACUUGGCUUUCAGCUCCAUGAGUGGAAUUAGCGGGGACAAGAGCGCUCGGCUGUGAGAGCCCUUGACUGUGGUUUUUGCUGCAGCUGGAGCACUGCCUGAGCCAGGGUGGACUCCUGGAGGGUAGGAUCGAAGGCUCAUCCCUUU
Molecule: long non-coding RNA, 527 nt
Filed under: Struthio camelus australis
Lineage: Eukaryota; Metazoa; Chordata; Aves; Struthioniformes; Struthionidae
Description: lncRNA (ENSSCUG00000018294.1)
Source: RNAcentral